RNAcentral lists this ribosomal RNA (408 nucleotides) under uncultured bacterium. RNAcentral's name for it is "partial 16S ribosomal RNA". It matches the Rfam family "Bacterial small subunit ribosomal RNA", at positions 28 to 526 of the family's 1533-position model. The record is from RNAcentral.
GACGAACGCUGGCGGCGUGCUUAACACAUGCAAGUCGAACGAAGUGGCGAACGGGUGAGUAACGCGUAAUCAACCUGCCCUUCAGAGGGGGACAACAGUUGGAAACGACUGCUAAUACCGCAUACUGAAGGAGGGGAUUGCGUCUGAUUAGCUAGUUGGAGGGGUAACGGCCCACCAAGGCGAUGAUCAGUAGCCGGUCUGAGAGGAGUGACGUCCACAUUGGGGCUGAGACACGGCCCCUACUCCUACGGGAGGCAGCAGUGGGGGAUCUUCCGCAAAGGGCGGAAGUCUGACGGAGCAACGCCGCGUGAGUGUUGGCGGCCUUCGGGUUGUAAAGCUCUGUUAAUCAGGACGCGGUACCGGAAUAGAAAGCCACGGCUAACUACGUGCCAGCAGCCGCGGUAAUAC